UAGAUGCGCUCUUCAAUUUUAUUGUUUUUCUUUUUUUUUACUGUCGGUAUCUUCAGUCUAUUCUUCUUGUAGUAAUUUUCAUGAAUCUUUCUAUGCGUCAGCCGGUUACGGGUUUGGAGAUUGCAAUUUCUCUGAGACAUUUCUGUUUUCAUAAAGGCAAGUUCUUAGUGUGUUUUCACUUUUAGGGUGAGUCUCAGACAAUCUCUUUAUGUCCUUCUGUUUAGUGUUUUCAAGUCUACUUUUCUUUGAUCAUGUUGGUUAAGUUGCUAAUGGAGUUUACAGAUGUAAAAGUUUUUCAUUAGAUUUAUCAAAAAACUAAUGGUAAAAUAAAAAUUAUAAUGAAAACUAAGGAUCAAAAUUUAAAGCAUAUUAUAUAGUCAAAAUUUCUUUGAAAUCGAAAAAAAUUUAGAAAUAAUUUGC
This 420-nucleotide long non-coding RNA is filed under the name Brassica rapa (field mustard). RNAcentral's name for it is "long non-coding RNA (BRAP_LNC006086)". Lineage: Eukaryota; Viridiplantae; Streptophyta; Magnoliopsida; Brassicales; Brassicaceae. The record is from RNAcentral.